This 481-nucleotide ribosomal RNA is filed under the name uncultured bacterium. RNAcentral describes it as "partial 16S ribosomal RNA". It matches the Rfam family "Bacterial small subunit ribosomal RNA", at positions 28 to 507 of the family's 1533-position model. The record is from RNAcentral.
GACGAACGUUGGCGGCGUGCUUAAUACAUGCAAGUCAACUGAAGCAGUGGUAGCAAUAUCGCUGUGGAGGUGGCGCACGGGUGAGUAACACGUAGGUAAUCUGCCUUCAGGUCUGGCAUAACUCCGGGAAACCGGGGCUAAUAGCAGAUGAUGCAGCGGCUCGACAUCGAGACAGUUGUUAAAGCUAUGGCGCCUGAAGAUGAGCCUGCGCCUGAUUAGCUAGUUGGCGGGGUAACGGCCCACCAAGGCAACGAUCAGUAGCUGGUCUGAGAGGAUGAUCAGCCACACUGGAACUGAGACACGGUCCAGACUCCUACGGGAGGCAGCAGUAAGGAAUAUUGCUCAAUGGGAGAAAUCCUGAAGCAGCAACGCCGCGUGAGGGACGAAGGGCUUUUGCUUGUAAACCUCUGUAGUGAGAGAAAAAAAUCCCAAUCUUUGGGACAUGAUGGUAUCUCAAAAGUAAGCCCCGGCUAACUACGUG